CUAGGGACAACUAACCGGAUCAAUUCAGCGGAAUACAAUUCACAAUUCACAAGUCCCAAUCCUUUUUCCCUCUUUGUGCAGUAAAAAACAGAAUCAAACAAUGAACAAAUAUAAUGCAACAAUCACACAAAUCAACACCAAGAUUUUUUACGUGGAAAACCCGAUGCGGGAAAAACCACGGGACCGGAGUCCACCUAAAAACUUCCACUAUCACAAAUAAUGGGUUCACAAUUGUUCUUCCUCAGAUUCAACUAAGGGCUACAACAUAUAUAUCAUCAAGAACAACUUAUUCUCGGAUUACAACAAGAUUAAAGAGAGUAAUGUUAGAGAAAAGCUCACAACACUGACAGCCCCGUUUUCUGUCAAAACGACCAGCUUCCACACCACCAAUCUUCAAUCCAACCGUUCAGAAUGAAGAGGAACGUGUCUAGAAGCUGCUGUCCAAAUCUCAGCCCGAUCCAACGGUGAACGAACUGGAAAUCGAAGAAAGAAGACAGACUGCUCUGCUGCCUCCUCUUCUUUCUUUCUCUCGGUUUUUCUCUGCUCUCUUGUUCAAAUUUGCUACUGCCUCUACAGUGGCAGUUUCAUUUUAAAUCAAAGAGGCAGCCAGCUGCCUCCUUAAUUAAUGUGGUGGUCCCCCCAUCACAUGGUGCGGGACCACACAACAAAUCUCCCCCUCACGCACCAUGUGAGGAAUUCGCCAUACUGGCGAUCAACAUGUAAGCUUCAAUUUAGGAGGCUCUGACAAGCCUGCCUCCCUUCUGCAAAACUCAAACUUCUCUCUCGGUAGAGGUUUGGUCAUCAUGUCUGACACGUUGUUAUCGGUAUGGAUCUUCUCAACAACAAAUGACUUCAUC
This 857-nucleotide long non-coding RNA is filed under the name Populus trichocarpa (black cottonwood). RNAcentral's name for it is "long non-coding RNA (PTRI_LNC002811)". The record is from RNAcentral. Lineage: Eukaryota; Viridiplantae; Streptophyta; Magnoliopsida; Malpighiales; Salicaceae.